Molecule: ribosomal RNA, 485 nt
Filed under: uncultured bacterium
Lineage: Bacteria
Description: partial 16S ribosomal RNA
Rfam family: Bacterial small subunit ribosomal RNA
Source: RNAcentral
ACUCAAAUGAAUUGACGGGGACCCACACAAGCGGUGGAACAUGGGGUUUAAUUCGAUGGUAAACGAAGAACCUCACCCAGACUUGACAUCCAGGGAAUCUGGCCGAAAAGCCGGAGUGCCGCAAGGAACCCUGAGACAGGCGAUGCACGGUCGUCGUCAGCUCGUGCCUUGAGGUGUACUGUUAAGUCAGCGAACGAGCGCAACCCUCAUCCUAUGUUGUUCUUUCAUGGGAGACUGCCGCCUCCAAGGCGGAGGAAGGUGGGGAUGACGUCAGAUCAGCGUGUCCUUUAUGUCUGGGGCAACACCCAUGUUACAAUGGCCGAUACAGAGGGCAGCAAAACCGCAAGGUGAAGCCAAUCCCAUCAAAAUCGGUCUCAGUUCGGAUUGCCGGCUGCAACUCGCCGGCAUGAAGUUGGAAUCGCUAGUAACCGUAGGUCAGCGAUACUACGGUGAAUCAGUUCCUGGGUCUUGCACACACCGCCCGU